RNAcentral lists this ribosomal RNA (255 nucleotides) under uncultured bacterium. RNAcentral describes it as "partial 16S ribosomal RNA". It matches the Rfam family "Bacterial small subunit ribosomal RNA", at positions 524 to 776 of the family's 1533-position model. The record is from RNAcentral.
GACGAACCGUGCGAACGUUAUUCGGAAUCACUGGGCUUAAAGCGCGUGUAGGCGGGACGGCACGUCGGUCGCUGAAAGCCCCCGGCUCAACCGGGGAACGGGCGCCGAUACGACCGGCCUGGAGGGACGUAGGGGGACCUGGAACUUCCGGUGGAGCGGUGAAAUGCGUUGAGAUCGGAAGGAACGCCCGAUGGCGAAAGCGAGGUCCUGGACGUUUUCUGACGCUGAGACGCGAAAGCUAGGGGAGCGAACGGG